RNAcentral lists this ribosomal RNA (492 nucleotides) under uncultured bacterium. Its description in RNAcentral is "partial 16S ribosomal RNA". It matches the Rfam family "Bacterial small subunit ribosomal RNA", at positions 29 to 507 of the family's 1533-position model. The record is from RNAcentral.
AGUGAACGCUGGCGGUAGGCCUAACACAUGCAAGUCGAACGGCAGCACAGUAAGAGCUUGCUCUUACGGGUGGCGAGUGGCGGACGGGUGAGGAAUACACCGGAAUCUACUUUUUCGUGGGGGAUAACGUAGGGAAACUUACGCUAAUACCGCAUACGACCUACGGGUGAAAGCAGGGGAACUUCGGACCUUGCGCGAUUGAAGGAGCCGAUGUCGGAUUAGCUAGUUGGCGGGGUAAAGGCCCACCAAGGCGACGAUCCGUAGCUGGCCUGAGAGGAUGAUCAGCCACACUGGAACUGAGACACGGUCCAGACUCCUACGGGAGGCAGCAGUGGGGAAUAUUGGACAAUGGGCGCAAACCUGAUCCAGCCAUACCGCGUGGGUGAAGAAGGCCUUCGGGUUGGAAAGCCCUUGUGUUGGGAAAGAAAAGCAGCAGGUUAAUACCCCGCUGUUCUGACAGUACCCAAAGAAUAAGCACCGGCUAACUUCGUG